This 23-nucleotide small nuclear RNA is filed under the name Arabidopsis thaliana (thale cress). RNAcentral's name for it is "snRNA_00426". The record is from RNAcentral. Lineage: Eukaryota; Viridiplantae; Streptophyta; Magnoliopsida; Brassicales; Brassicaceae.
UUGAUUUCAAUGGCAAAAUUUUU